Molecule: ribosomal RNA, 429 nt
Filed under: Actinomycetes bacterium
Lineage: Bacteria; Bacillati; Actinomycetota; Actinomycetes
Description: Actinobacteria bacterium partial 16S ribosomal RNA
Rfam family: Bacterial small subunit ribosomal RNA
Source: RNAcentral
UAGGGAAUCUUCCGCAAUGGGCGAAAGCCUGACGGAGCAACGCCGCGUGAGUGAUGAAGGUCUUCGGAUCGUAAAACUCUGUUAUUAGGGAAGAACAAAUGUGUAAGUAACUAUGCACGUCUUGACGGUACCUAAUCAGAAAGCCACGGCUAACUACGUGCCAGCAGCCGCGGUAAUACGUAGGUGGCAAGCGUUAUCCGGAAUUAUUGGGCGUAAAGCGCGCGUAGGCGGUUUUUUAAGUCUGAUGUGAAAGCCCACGGCUCAACCGUGGAGGGUCAUUGGAAACUGGAAGACUUGAGUGCAGAAGAGGAAAGGGGAAUUCCAUGUGUGGCGGUGAAAUGCGCAGAGAUAUGGAGGAACACCAGUGGCGAAGGCGACUUUCUGGUCUGUAACUGACGCUGAUGUGCGAAAGCGGGGGGAUCAAACAGG